Molecule: ribosomal RNA, 273 nt
Filed under: uncultured bacterium
Lineage: Bacteria
Description: partial 16S ribosomal RNA
Source: RNAcentral
CUGCUGCCUUCCGUAGGGGUUUGGACCGUGUCUCAGUUCCAAUGUGGGGGACCUUCCUCUCAGAACCCCUACGCAUCGUCGGCUUGGUGGGCCGUUGCCCCACCAACUACCUAAUGCGCCGCAUGCCCAUCCAUGACCGGGGUCGCCCCCUUUGACCGGCAGGGGAUGUCCCCUCCCGGCAUUAUGUUGUAUUAGGCGGGAUUUCUCCCGGUUAUCCAUCUGUCACGGCCAGGUUGCAUACGUGUUACUCACCCGUGCGCCGGUCGCCGGCGG